RNAcentral lists this ribosomal RNA (277 nucleotides) under uncultured prokaryote. RNAcentral's name for it is "partial 16S ribosomal RNA". It matches the Rfam family "Bacterial small subunit ribosomal RNA", at positions 524 to 801 of the family's 1533-position model. The record is from RNAcentral.
CACGGGGGUUGCGAGCGUUGUCCGGGAUUACUAGGCGUAAAGGGCAGGCAGGCGGAUCCAUAAGUUUAUCGUUUAAGGCGUCGGCUUAACCGGCGUAGGGGGUAGAUACUGUGGAUCUGGAAUGCGGUUGGGGAAGACAGAAUUCCUGGUGUAGCGGUGGAAUGCGCAGAGAUCAGGAGGAAUACCGAAGGCGAAGGCAGUCUUCCAAGCCGUUAUUGACGCUCAACUGCGAAGGUGUGGGUAUCAAACAGGAUUAGAUACCUCGGUAGUCCCUGAG